ACAGCAGCAGCCACGGUAAUACAGAGGGUGCGAGCGUUAAUCGGAUUUACUGGGCGUAAAGCGUGCGUAGGCGGCUUUUUAAGUCGGAUGUGAAAUCCCUGAGCUUAACUUAGGAAUUGCAUUCGAUACUGGGAAGCUAGAGUAUGGGAGAGGAUGGUAGAAUUCCAGGUGUAGCGGUGAAAUGCGUAGAGAUCUGGAGGAAUACCGAUGGCGAAGGCAGCCAUCUGGCCUAAUACUGACGCUGAGGUACGAAAGCAUGGGGAGCAAACAGGAUUAGAUACCCGGGUAGUCCCUGUCUCUUAUAC
Molecule: ribosomal RNA, 305 nt
Filed under: uncultured bacterium
Lineage: Bacteria
Description: partial 16S ribosomal RNA
Rfam family: Bacterial small subunit ribosomal RNA
Source: RNAcentral